AUUGAACGCUGGCGGCAGGCCUAACACAUGCAAGUCGAGCGGAUGAAGGGAGCUUGCUCCUGGAUUCAGCGGCGGACGGGUGAGUAAUGCCUAGGAAUCUGCCUGGUAGUGGGGGAUAACGUCCGGAAACGGGCGCUAAUACCGCAUACGUCCUGCGGGAGAAAGUGGGGGAUCUUCGGACCUCACGCUCUCAGAUGAGCCUAGGUCGGAUUAGCUAGUUGGUGGGGUAAAGGCCUACCAAGGCGACGAUCCGUAACUGGUCUGAGAGGAUGAUCAGUCACACUGGAACUGAGACACGGUCCAGACUCCUACGGGAGGCAGCAGUGGGGAAUAUUGGACAAUGGGCGAGAGCCUGAUCCAGCCAUGCCGCGUGUGUGAAGAAGGUCUUCGGAGUGUAAAGCACUUUAAGUUGGGAGGAAGGGCAGUAAGUUAAUACCUUGCUGUUUUGACGUUACCAACAGAAUAAGCACCGGCUAACUUCGUG
Molecule: ribosomal RNA, 484 nt
Filed under: uncultured bacterium
Lineage: Bacteria
Description: partial 16S ribosomal RNA
Rfam family: Bacterial small subunit ribosomal RNA
Source: RNAcentral